Molecule: small RNA, 29 nt
Filed under: Bombyx mori (domestic silkworm)
Lineage: Eukaryota; Metazoa; Arthropoda; Insecta; Lepidoptera; Bombycidae
Description: ovarian small RNA-17856
Source: RNAcentral
GUGAUGUGUUCUGGGCAACCGAAGCGGGC